GAUGAACGCUGGCGGCGUGCCUAAUACAUGCAAGUCGAGCGAACAGACGAGGAGCUUGCUCCUCUGACGUUAGCGGCGGACGGGUGAGUAACACGUGGAUAACCUACCUAUAAGACUGGGAUAACUUCGGGAAACCGGAGCUAAUACCGGAUAAUAUAUUGAACCGCAUGGUUCAAUAGUGAAAGACGGUUUUGCUGUCACUUAUAGAUGGAUCCGCGCCGCAUUAGCUAGUUGGUAAGGUAACGGCUUACCAAGGCAACGAUGCGUAGCCGACCUGAGAGGGUGAUCGGCCACACUGGAACUGAGACACGGUCCAGACUCCUACGGGAGGCAGCAGUAGGGAAUCUUCCGCAAAGGGCGAAAGCCUGACGGAGCAACGCCGCGUGAGUGAUGAAGGUCUUCGGAUCGUAAAACUCUGUUAUUAGGGAAGAACAAAUGUGAAAGUAACUAUGCACGUCUUGACGGUACCUAAUCAGAAAGCCACGGCUAACUACGUG
This 497-nucleotide ribosomal RNA is filed under the name uncultured bacterium. RNAcentral's name for it is "partial 16S ribosomal RNA". It matches the Rfam family "Bacterial small subunit ribosomal RNA", at positions 28 to 507 of the family's 1533-position model. The record is from RNAcentral.